This 336-nucleotide ribosomal RNA is filed under the name Triticum aestivum (bread wheat). RNAcentral describes it as "partial small subunit ribosomal RNA". The record is from RNAcentral. Lineage: Eukaryota; Viridiplantae; Streptophyta; Magnoliopsida; Poales; Poaceae.
AUGGAAGAGAAUAGUUCUGUCAGUGAACAUAUACUCAAAAUGUCUUGGUAUAAUAAUCACUUGAUUCAACUGGGAGUUAAUCUUCCUGAUGAUACUGUCAUUGACAGGAUUCUUCAAUCACUGCCACCAAGCUACAAGAGCUUCCUGAUGAACUAUAAUAUGCAAGGGAUGAACAAGACUAUUCCCGAGCUCUUCACAAUGCUAAAAGCCGCGGAGGUAGAAAUCAAGAAGGAGCAUCAAGUGUUGAUGGUCAAUAAGACCAUCAGUUUCAAGAAAAAGGGUAAAGGGAAGAAGAAGGGGAACUUCAAAAAGAACAACAAACAAGUUGUUGCUUAA